UUUCCGCUUAUUAAUAAUAACUGCCGUAUCCCAACCGUAUCUCUGCAUGCCGAGAGUAUUCAACUGGAAAACACGAACAUUAUUCGGAUACUGGAAAGAUGCUCGACGGAUACAGUUAAGAUGCAUUAAGACUGCGCUAUUGCAGUACAAUCGAGACAACAGGCAAAAGUGUGCUUUCGAUGAAGGUGUUAAUGUUAUAAAUGCAAAAUAAUCUGUCGGGGGACGAUGGAAGGUUUUUCUUAUCUUGAUACUAUUCUCGACAUCUCCAAGUUGUUUAUUUCUGUGUGCGUUUUUUCGGAGUUCCUUGCGUUCAUUAUUGAUAUCUCCUAUAAACGUAUUUGCCAUCUGCAGCUUUACUGGAUCUGAUGUGUCAGUAUCUGAACGUGGGUGACGAGCUUUGUGGCGCGAGAUCCUGGAUUCUCAACUAAUGACGAAAUUACGGGCAUCAGAACCAAAAUGCCGGGAAUUCUCUUGAUGAUAGCGGUGCAAAUCGGUAGUUUUUGCUCCCGAAGGAUUUAACUACUAAGUGUACUCGUACACUGUGACUGAUUUGUCGUACGUUGAUCCCAGAGUUCUUCGUGUGCAGCGCGUAUUGGUCAUGUGUGGAUGGGUUCGUGAUGAUGACGACUCUCGCUCAUCCGUCCGAACCGGGAUGUCGAACGAGGCAUCCCGUUCCGAGCGAUUAGCAAGGCUCGUCGUCUGAUAAAAGUUCGCAAUCGACAUAAUCAGCUCCUAAUCGAGUCGUUGCUAUAGCUACCCAUCAUCAUGUAUACACAACGUGCAUACGUGCAUAUCCACAAUCCAUAUCCACAAUAAAUACGGAUGGAUUUCCAUCCGGAUAUGAGAAACCCCUUCAAAAGAUCCAGACGGCAAAAUAACCAAGCAAUGCCUAGAGAUACGCUAGCUGACUCGACUCGGAUUUGAAAAAACUGCAGUGACUCCUGGAUUUUCGGCUGGUGUGCCGACAAUCCUUGGGUUCUGGAAGCCAAUUUCGCAACUAUACUACACAAUAUUCCAUGGGCCGUAGUUGGGUCGCCGUCUCCGCCGCGGAGCACCGCCGCGUGUUUAUCCCACUGCACGGCGGAAUCAUAUCAAGUAUGGGUAUCCCGUACUGCCAAAGCACUGGCAGUGCUCCUCAUGAUCACACCACGACAUCGAUUAAGCACGCGAUGGCUUUGACUGUGUGCGCAGCGCAUUCCACCACCGCGUCGACAUCCUGAAUGUAUUCCAGCCGCCCACCACCCCUUGCUGGUCCUGAUUUGAGGAGAGAAACAGCUCACGUACAGCGACAAAAUCUUUCAAGGAUUUUUUAACACUGUACGCCGUGGUGCAGAGGCACUGCCUACGCGGAUCUUACGACGUAGCCGGUUUUCGAUUCCCCCGUCGGUGGAUUUUGCGGAACAUUUCUCGGUUUCCUUCGGAUGGUGCCCUGCUAAGUCCGGCAUUUAAGAGCCAGCCAAAUGAAUCGGCUGAGAGGCAGAUUGUUCAUUUUUUCUGGUAAGUCAUCUGACUGGCAUCACGUACGUUUGCAAUGCGUCUGGUGAACGCUUUUGAACGGAUUCAAAAAAUCAAUAUAGAGAUACUCAAUGUUAGCGGUGUUGGCUUCUUUUAAGUUUGCUCUGAAAUCCGUCGAUCUGUUCGAAUCUCUUUUUUUAUUGUUAACCUUUAGCUGUUUUUUACCGACCAGACGUGGUUGUCUGCUCUUGAUAUAUGAAUGAAUGAAUCAGCCAGCAGCCGCCGGAAACGCAGCCAUCCGUUCGGCCGUCGGGUUGAUCAGAUAUGAAGGCACAGUAAGUAAUCAAUAAAAUCCGGUAUCACGGAUUUUAACAUUUUCGUAUAACGCUUCGAUGGCUACUUCGACGUUUUCGCAUUCCGGACAGACACGGCAUUCUCCGCGUGGUUCCACUUUCGAGAGCUGGAUAAUCUUUUAUCAUUCUCGUGUACACGCUUGCAUAAACACAAUGAUUCAAAAAACUUUAGAGGACCCGCAAAAGCGUACAGAUGCAAGUAGACAUUAGACUUACACCUAGUGAAAGGUAAGAAUUGAGAGGAUAAACGAUUGCCGUGUAAAGCACGUUUAUCGUCUGUUUACGAGGUCACGGAAAGAUCUUUCAGCGCAUCUUGCGACAGCAGUGUAAACUUGUAAAUGACGGUGAUUAUCCGUUUUAAGAUAUUUAUCGUUUUAUCCGAUUUGUGUAGCCAUGAAAGCGAUACAAUGGUGAGUAACUACGCUCGGAUUCUCGAAAUGUCGGUUUCCGGUGAUCGGUGCAACGGGAACCCAGGGCGCAAUUCCCAAUGCGCCGCUUAUCUCCGUAGCCCUGAUCGCGUCCGAAAAGCGCCGAACAUCAUCCCAUUAGAGAAUUUUACCCUCCCGCGAUCCUGGUUUGGAUUAGGAAGAGCAGGAUGAUCUGUUGAUGACUCAGCAUCUGGUAAUUGUGGAAGUUUGUGAUGCAACCAUCAUCAAAAGAAUCUCCCAACAGCAAAGUUUAUAACAAAAAUCAGAAUCAGUCGGCAGUCGUAUUCCAGCAAAACUUGAAAGAUCAGGAGGCCCAUUAGCCAGCCGGUGCAGGCUGCAACCUCCUCCUCAACCUUUCACUCGUCAAGCCGUGGGAACCCCCUUCGUUCGCUGGAUAAUCGGUGGGGAACGGCGUGAACCUGUGAAAGCAGUUCAUGUUGUUCCGAAUCGCACAGAAAGAAAAACGUUGAUAUAACAUCUUUUUAACUUCUCAUGUUGGAAUUCGGGCAUAGCUUCUACGUAUGCAUCAUGGUCCUUUCCCGCAAUGUUCCCGAUGGAGGCGAAGUUGUCAAACGCGCCGUUUUCCGUGGUGCCGGCGCACGUCAGAAACUGAUGGUUGCUGAUGCACACCGAGUUGUGCUGCAAAAGCAGUUGUCCCAGCAUCUUCGUCAAAUCUUUGUGGAAAGGUGCGGGAAUAUCGGAUUGGGAAAGGUUGGUACUCUGUUGAAAGAGCGGCAUGAUGUCGGUAGACGACCGUUGCGGACGAAGAACGUGACUGCUGAGAGAUUUCUCUUUUUUUACGGAGAAGCAAUCGAGGUAGUUUGCUGGGCUCGGAUCGAAGCGGCCAGACAAAAUGCCUGAAGAUACGAGUCACACGAGGGACGGUACCCUAGAAUCGUCCUUAACCGAACGAAACUCGAAAGGUCGCCGAGAACCACCGCAAUUAUGGCGGAUUAAAGCUGGCAGUCCGCGGAUCAGUGAUGAAUGGCCGAUUGGCGCUGGUUUCUACCUUUCGCGAUGGUUUACGAGGAAAUUAUAAAUGCUGCGUGGAAUAUUCGAUUGUGGAUAUCGUUGGCCCGGUAAUUAAGUACCAAUUCUAGAAGAACGUUUUUUUGCAAUAAUUUAUAUCGGAAUUUUAUCGCAAGUGUGGCUCGAAUAAGUUUGCACAUUAUUAGUUGGUACUUGAUUGCCAAUAAUUUAAUGCAAUGACUGAGCUACGUGCGGCUGCGAAGUUAUUGAGAAACUCCGUAGAAUAACUAUUAUUGAUAACUACAUUAUUGCUUGCAUUUUUCCAUACAAACAGGUGUACCGAAAGUCUUAUUAUGAGCCGUUCUUACACUGUAGCCGUCUGCGGCUGCCAGUCCAGUGCUCUGGAAAAUAGAAUUCGCAAUCGAAUCGAAUGCUAUUGAUUCGAUCUUAAUGUUUGACGAAUUAGUAAAGACGAAUACUCGCACCGACAAAAACGAGCAAAAUAACUGUACUUUACAACUUUCCUGUCGUAUAGCAGAUAAAGCACGUAGCGUGAAGAAAAUCACUUGAAGUUAAAAUUAACUUUAUUCAGUACAUUUAAAAAAAGUUGAUUUCGUUGUACAGAUUCCAGAUUUUGAAUGCGUUCCUAAAAUGCUCUGCUGAGCAACGAUGAAACUGUGUCAUACAAGCAAAAUGCUGAACACAACUGACAACAAGCAGCAGUCACGCAGGCCCGACCGUUGUCUUUGCUCAG
Molecule: long non-coding RNA, 3959 nt
Organism: Paramacrobiotus metropolitanus
Lineage: Eukaryota; Metazoa; Tardigrada; Eutardigrada; Parachela; Macrobiotidae
Exons: 7
Source: RefSeq, a predicted model, not a curated record